CAGAUAAAUGUAAAACCGGUCAUCAACCUGCAAUGUUAACGAAGAAAACACUUUCAUUGAAGAGUACCUGCAAGGGUGAAUCAAGUUUGUAACUUCUUGUAAAUAACAAUUUCUUACUAUUUCACUGCCAUAAUACUGGACAAUGUUUGGGUGCUUGAGAUGGCUGAGUACAUUGAUCUCCUGGACCAACAUAAAGAAUAAAGAUUACAAAAAGUUGAAACAAUCUCAAGGUUGAAACGUAUGGGGCGUUCUGCAUCGAAAUGAAUUCAGCUUCAAGUACUCGUGAAAAUAACCAAAAACAUGGUUGUAAAACUAACUUCCUGAGAAAGCCAGAGAAAUCAAUUUUCCGUUGCAGGUUAAAGUGAAAAGGCAGUAAUGCAGAUAAACCCCGAACUUCAAAUAUUUCAGCCGAUUCAAGCAAUGCAGUGUUAUUAAUGAUUUUUAAUAUCACCAAUCAAAAUGUGUACGGAGAAUCCAAAGUAUUCAAGGAUUAUGAAACAAAGACGGUGCACGAAAUCUGACCUGUUCUAGCUGCCUUAUAGACUCAGCAGAUUUUGGGUCAUCUGGUAAUAAUUCAACUUCUUUCAACGCACAUAAAGCUCCUGUCUCUCUGGUUAAGAAUAAUUCAUGGAGUUACACUAGAAAAUGCUGAAGGAUUUAAGUUAUAUACACUGGUAUAGUUAAAGAACUUUUGUUCAAUCAGCAAGCUAUAGCAUCAAUGACAUUUAUAUACCUGUUUGAUGCUACGUAAACACUUCCAAAUGUCCCACGUCCAAUAAGCUUUCCUUUCUUCCACUGACCUUUAAUAGGCGUUAUAUCUGCUUUAGGGGUAGGUGGUGAAACGGGAGGACUAGCAAGAGGAGGAAGGGGUAAAGGAUAGACAUUGCCUUGAGCACAAUUCUCCCGACGUGCCACUGGGCUAUGAUCAUUUGACAGUGGAUAAUGUAAAGGUGAAGCAGAUCCACUUGGACUCCUGGAUCUACGCUGAGGACUUAAUCUUGGACUAUGAAGAGGAGAGUUAUCAACACUACUAAAAGCAUGGUUAUAAGAGAAACCUAAGCCAUGAGGAGCAUCUGAAGGAGGCAUCUCAGGGGCAGACCAAACUUGAAAAACACCUGGGAGUGUGGAAAAAACAGGACUCGUUGUAUGAUCACCACCUUUCAGUUGGCUAUGUGCAGGACUUGCAUAAGGACUAGUUGGAGCACUAGUCCAAAAGUCAGGAGGAAUUCUUUCCGGGACUAGCAGCAUCCGUGGAGGCAUCUUCCUGGAGAAGGGAGUUACAGAGUGAACUGUUCUCUUUCGAGUAUCUUGACCUAAUAAUCUGCUGAAAUAUAAAGGAAAGAACAACAAUAUUGGAUUUGUACAAUCAGAUACAUAAGUUUUAUUUCGGAAAACUUAAAGUUUCUAUGUCCAAAUCCAUGAUCAAAGUUCAGAAGUUUGCAUGUUGAAAUUCCAACCGUGCCACAUAAAUUGGGACAUAGAUUAUUAGGAAAUUGGGACCAGGAGGUCACAGGUUCAAGCUUUAGAAAUAGCCCUUGGCAGAAAUGAAAGGUAAGGUUGCGUACAAUACACCUUUGUGAUGGGGCCUUUUCCCGAACCCUGCGCAUAGCGGGAGCUUUAGGCACCGGGCUUCCCUUUUUAGAGUAUUAUGAAAUUGUUCAAAAACAUGAUGACUGUCAGCCAACUACAAUCCUAAAAUAUUUGCUUGUAAAA
This is a long non-coding RNA of Capsicum annuum, 1713 nucleotides long. RefSeq lists it as uncharacterized. The record is from RefSeq and is a predicted model, not a curated record. Lineage: Eukaryota; Viridiplantae; Streptophyta; Magnoliopsida; Solanales; Solanaceae. The transcript has 2 exons.